UGGGAACGUGCAGCCAUGAGGUCCAGGGUGCAUUUUAGAGAGGACGGGUUGGAGGUCAUGGUGUGGUCUGGAAGAAAGGUCAGGAAAUGGAAUCAUGGUGUUAGUGGUUUAGAAAAGUGGUCCGAUGCCAGAGGCUAAGUUACUUGGCUUGGUUCACACAUCAGCAAGUUCAAACCGAGUUCAGUUGUGCUGCGAAGCCAAUAUGCUAAGUCACCAUAAUUUAACAACAGGUUUCCCCUCAAGGUAUCAUGACAUUAUUUUUUUGGGUCUCAACCAACUAGCAUUUGUCAAAGAGAGAUGGAGAGAGAGAGAAUGAAAAGAAGGAAGGAAGGAAGGAAAGAAGGAAGGAAGGAAGGAAGGAAGGAAAUAGAAUAGAAUAAAAUCACAGUUUAUUUCACGGAGUGAAGGAAGGGUUGCUGCGUGCAAAUGUGUUUCUGUGCUGUAUGCUUAUCUGCAGAUGGAUGUACCGGGCUGUGAUAUGAAACCUAUUUUUAUGGCUGGUUGUGGCUCCUCUGAGCUGCUAUUGGGUUUGCCCUCCACCCCCUCUCACGCUGACUCUGGGCCCUUCAAAAUGAGUCAUAGAGAGUCAUUACCACUCCCCCCGACCCAACCCUGACUCUGCUGUACACCUCAUGGUUUCUGAUAAUACAGCAUUGUGAAGUCGGGGGAAGGCUGGCAGAGGGGCCCAGUCUAGUCUGUGACCUGAGCCAUCAUGGUAGGGUGUCCAGGGUGAGGGGAGGGUGGUGUGAAUCCCCAGUAAUGCAGGUCCUUUCCAGGCCAGGCCCCUGGUCCCCAGGAGUGCGGGGAUGCCUGAGGUCUACUGCUGCCUUAUCCAGAGCUGCCAUCCCCGGCGAUGACUCAGAGUUCCUGUGGCCCCAGCAUCAUCCCUCCAUCCCUGGCUGUGAGGCAGGAGCAGAGUUGCAGACCUGAGAGGCCUUGAAUUUGUUUGAUAUAGGACUUUGCCACCAGACAAAGUGCUUUGCCUGUGAGGUCUGGCUUGGCCUGGCCUCUGAGAAAGAACAAACACAGACCUCACUGGAAGGAACCUGGAGAACGGGAGAGGAGAGGCUGCUGCUGUCUGCCCUCCCAGCAGCAGAUAUAAAGACAAUGGGCUUCUAAGUCCCCUAGAGUCCCAGCUGUGUAAUUUAAGGCAAAUAUAAUUUCUGACCUACGUAAUGAUGUAUGCACAAGAAGCCUCUCUUGAAUGUAUUAAUUCAGUAAACAGUUAUGGAGUCCUUACAAUGUGCUAGUGGGACUUUGAAGAUGAAUCCAAAUUUGGAUCCUGGCCUGGAAAGGCUCAAAGCCCAAUAUGGGAGGUAGAAAACCCAUCAUCACUGGGCAUUGUCUUCCAGUGAUUCUGAGCAGAAACAAAGGGGAACGUAUGUCUUCAUUGUGACUCAGCGAGCAAAGAGAUGGAGUCUUUUCCAAGAAGAAAGUGGGAGAUUUGGGACCACUGACAUAUUUGGCCCACUGAUUCCAUUCCCCUAGACCAACACGUGUUCAUCAAAUUGCAUCACUCUUAUGGGGAACUUAAUGCAACUCCGGUGCCCAUUGCAUUAGUUUUUGAUGAUGGAAUUCUCUUUGUGAACUUGAACUUGAGGGGUCUGGCUACCCCUCUGAGACUUCUUUUUUGAGAUAAAAUCAUAUAACAUAAAAUUCGCCCUUUUAAUGUGUACAAUUCAGUGGUUUUUAGUGUAUUUACAAUGUCAUGCCACCAUCACCACAAUCUAAUUCCCAAACAUUUUUAUCUCCUUAAAAAGCAGCCACUCCCCAUUCCCCCAUCUGCAGCCCAGGGCAAUCCCUAAUCUAUGUUCUGUCUCUGUGGCCUCUCAGAGACUUCUGGCACCAGUCUCUCCAGUCCAUGAGCUGUGAACUCCCUUUUUAGCACAUUUGGCCCUGACACCUGCCAUCUUACCUUUGCUUCUGGACACCCAGAUUGAAUCUUCCCUAAAAACCAACUUUGCAUUGUUUGCCCAACAUUUGAACCUCCUUCCUAUAUUUGUGUAACUGCUCAGUGUAUGACUCAUUUUCGGAGGAGUCAGUGGCCAUCUUUCUCUAUUAAGGCUCAAGAAGAUAGAUUCCUGCUUUCCCAGACUUCCUUGCAACGAGUCCUUAGAUGGGUGUGCUAGGCUCAAGCUCAACCAGUGACUAUGAAUCUGGAGCCAGUGGCCUGAAAAGUCAGGGGUAGUGAAGAAUCUUUGCUGUUAGUGUGGUGGUAGCAGUAGUAAUGUCAAAGGCCUACUGGCAGCAGGGCUGUGGGCCCAUGGCAGCGGGACCAUGCUCAAGUGGCACUAAUGUCUGCAUUGGGCUGGCUGGUUCUGAUUUUGGCUGUCUCUUAGACUCUCUUGCUCCUGGGCACUGUUUAAGCUGGUCCUCCAGCCUUCUUGGCUAUUGAGUGAGCUAGAUCCUAUCUUUAAAAUAGAUUUUCUUUCAAUUAAAAUCAUCCAGAGUUGGUUUCCAUGCUUGCAGUUAAGGACCCCAUCUGGAAGAAGUAUUUUAUGAGUAGAGUCUUAACCAGAACGGGUCAUAGGGUUUUGCCUCAGAAUACUGCAAUUAAGAGGGCACCAUAUUUUGAAGCUUGAACUCCCUCCCCCAUGCUCUUCCUUAUUCCUGUUGCAGUGCUGAGCUGGCCUCUUCUUCUGAGACCAGUACCUCAGCAGCAGGUGAACAAAGACAGAGAUGGAGACUUAGGAUCAAAGGCACUGAGUGCCUGACCAGGGGUCCCUCUGUGAGGCAGGAGAACAAGCCCCUCCUCUGUUUCUUUGAAUUUCCUUGUUUAGAAACUGAAUUUCUGGGCCAGGUGUGGUGGCUUACGCCUGUAACCCCCGCACUUUGGGAAGCUGAGGCGGGUGGAUCACCUGAGGUCAGGUGUUUGAGACCAGCCUGGCCAACAUGGCAAAACCCCAUCUUUAAUAAAAAUAGAAAAAGCAGCCUGGCAUGGUGGUGGGCGCCUGUAAUCCCAGCUACUCAGGAGGCUGAGACAGGAGAAUCACUUGAACUUGGGAGGUGGAGGUUGCAGUGAGCUGAGGAGCUGAGAUCGCACCGUUGCAUUCCAGCCUAGGUGACAAGAGCAAAACUCCAUCAAAAAAAAAAAGGAAAGAGAAAGAAAGAAAGAAAAAAGAAAGAAGAAAGGAAGGAAGGAAGAAAGAAAGAAAGAAAGAAAGAAAGAAAGAAAGAAAGAAAGAAAGAAAGAAAGAAAGAAAUUGAGUUUCUGGCUGCUUGUUGUGGGUUGAAUCAUGUCCCCACAAAACACAUGCUGAAGUCACAUCCCCAGUAUCUAAGAAUCUGACCUUCUUUGGAAAUAGGGUUGGUGCAGAUGUAAUUAGUUAGGAUGAGGUCACACUGGAGUAGGGUGGGCUCUUAAUCCAGUAGGGCUGGUGUCCUAGUAAGAAGAAGGAGGAUGACACAAAGACAGACACACAGGGAGAAUGCCGUGUGACCCUAAGAGCAGAGGUUGGAGUGGUGCCGCUACAAGCCUGGGAUUGCCAGCCACCACCAGAGCUAGAAAGAUAUAAGGAGGGAUUUUAGCUUCAGGAACGAUGAGGAGCAUUUACGUUGUUUUAAGCCACCCAAUUUGCAGUAAAACUCAAGGAAACUAAAACAUCUUUUGAAUCCAAAUUCCUGGCCAUAGCUCUGCUUAACAGGACAUCCUUGGAAGCAGACAGAAUGGGGUUUGAGUCUCAGCUCUGUUACCACCUGCUGCAUGGGUUCGGAGGUAAGCUGUUUACCUCCUUGACAUCUCCAUUUCCUCAUCUGCAAAUCAAAGAUGAACAUAGCUUCUUCAAAGACUGUUAAACAUUUAGAGGAGUGCACGGCACAUAAACGGCAAC
This 3830-nucleotide long non-coding RNA is filed under the name Homo sapiens (human). Its description in RNAcentral is "HSALNT0234129". The record is from RNAcentral. Lineage: Eukaryota; Metazoa; Chordata; Mammalia; Primates; Hominidae.